GGGGAAUAUUGGGCAAUGGGGGAAACCCUGACCCAGCAACGCCGCGUGAAGGAAGAAGGCUUUCGGGUUGUAAACUUCUUUUACCAGGGACGAAGGACGUGACGGUACCUGGAGAAAAAGCAUCGGCUAACUCCGUGCCACCAGCCGCGGUAAUACGGAGGAUGCGAGCGUUAUCCGGAUUUAUUGGGUUUAAAGGGUGCGUAGGCGGACUGUCAAGUCAGCGGUAAAAUACGGGGGCUCAACCUCCGCCCGCCGUUGAAACUGACGGUCUUGAGUGGGCGAGAAGUAUGCGGAAUGCGUGGUGUAGCGGUGAAAUGCAUAGAUAUCACGCAGAACUCCGAUUGCGAAGGCAGCAUACCGGCGCCCAACUGACGCUGAAGCACGAAAGCGUGGGUAUCGAACAGG
RNAcentral lists this ribosomal RNA (405 nucleotides) under uncultured bacterium. RNAcentral describes it as "bacterial SSU rRNA". It matches the Rfam family "Bacterial small subunit ribosomal RNA", at positions 356 to 776 of the family's 1533-position model. The record is from RNAcentral.